Fukomys damarensis (Damara mole-rat) is the source of this 110-nucleotide non-coding RNA. NCBI's taxonomy places the organism in Eukaryota, Metazoa, Chordata, Mammalia, Rodentia, Bathyergidae. The record is from Rfam.
ACAGCCAUACAUACCACCCUGAACACACCCAAUCUUGUCUGAUUUUGGAAGCUAAGCAGGGGUAGGCCCGGUUAGUACGUGGAUAGGGAGAAUACGGUGGUUUAUUUAUU